AGUAGGGAAUAUUGGACAAUGGGGGCAACCCUGAUCCAGCAAUGCCGCGUGAGUGAUGAAGGCCUUAGGGUUGUAAAGCUCUUUUACCCGGGAUGAUAAUGACAGUACCGGGAGAAUAAGCUCCGGCUAACUCCGUGCCAGCAGCCGCGGUAAUACGGAGGGAGCUAGCGUUGUUCGGAAUUACUGGGCGUAAAGCGCGCGUAGGCGGCUAUUUAAGUCAGAGGUGAAAGCCUGGAGCUCAACUCCAGAACUGCCUUUGAGACUGGAUAGCUAGAAUCCUGGAGAGGUGAGUGGAAUUCCGAGUGUAGAGGUGAAAUUCGUAGAUAUUCGGAAGAACACCAGUGGCGAAGGCGGCUCACUGGACAGGUAUUGACGCUGAGGUGCGAAAGCGUGGGGAGCAAA
RNAcentral lists this ribosomal RNA (402 nucleotides) under uncultured Sphingobium sp. RNAcentral's name for it is "bacterial SSU rRNA". It matches the Rfam family "Bacterial small subunit ribosomal RNA", at positions 353 to 772 of the family's 1533-position model. The record is from RNAcentral. Lineage: Bacteria; Pseudomonadati; Pseudomonadota; Alphaproteobacteria; Sphingomonadales; Sphingobiaceae.